This 73-nucleotide transfer RNA is filed under the name Planctomycetales bacterium. RNAcentral describes it as "tRNA-Lys". It matches the Rfam family "tRNA". Rfam says of the family: Transfer RNA (tRNA) molecules are approximately 80 nucleotides in length. Their secondary structure includes four short double-helical elements and three loops (D, anti-codon, and T loops). RNAcentral also lists the same sequence under 1 other name. Lineage: Bacteria; Pseudomonadati; Planctomycetota; Planctomycetia; Planctomycetales. The record is from RNAcentral.
AGGGUCGUGGUGUAACAGGCAGCACAGCAGACUUUUAAUCUGCACGGUGUGGGUUCGAUUCCCUCCGGCCCUA